Molecule: small nuclear RNA, 97 nt
Filed under: Carlito syrichta (Philippine tarsier)
Lineage: Eukaryota; Metazoa; Chordata; Mammalia; Primates; Tarsiidae
Source: RNAcentral
GUGCUUGCUUCAGCGCCACAUAUAUUUUAAAAAGUGAAGAUUAGCAUGGCUUCUGUGCAAGGCUGACAGACAGAUUUGUGAAGCAUUUCAUAUUUUA